RNAcentral lists this small RNA (28 nucleotides) under Bombyx mori (domestic silkworm). Its description in RNAcentral is "ovarian small RNA-30490". Lineage: Eukaryota; Metazoa; Arthropoda; Insecta; Lepidoptera; Bombycidae. The record is from RNAcentral.
UGAAAGCUGUUUUACAGGAGUCUUGAGG